Molecule: ribosomal RNA, 560 nt
Filed under: Massilia agri
Lineage: Bacteria; Pseudomonadati; Pseudomonadota; Betaproteobacteria; Burkholderiales; Oxalobacteraceae
Description: bacterial SSU rRNA
Rfam family: Bacterial small subunit ribosomal RNA
Source: RNAcentral
UCCGCGCAUGGGCGCAGCCUGAUCCAGCAAUGCCGCGUGAGUGAAGAAGGCCUUCGGGUUGUAAAGCUCUUUUGUCAGGGAAGAAACGGCUCAGGCUAAUAUCCUGGGCUAAUGACGGUACCUGAAGAAUAAGCACCGGCUAACUACGUGCCAGCAGCCGCGGUAAUACGUAGGGUGCAAGCGUUAAUCGGAAUUACUGGGCGUAAAGCGUGCGCAGGCGGUUUUGUAAGUCUGACGUGAAAGCCCCGGGCUCAACCUGGGAAUUGCGUUGGAGACUGCAAGGCUUGAAUCUGGCAGAGGGGGGUAGAAUUCCACGUGUAGCAGUGAAAUGCGUAGAGAUGUGGAGGAACACCGAUGGCGAAGGCAGCCCCCUGGGUCAAGAUUGACGCUCAUGCACGAAAGCGUGGGGAGCAAACAGGAUUAGAUACCCUGGUAGUCCACGCCCUAAACGAUGUCUACUAGUUGUCGGGUUUUAAUUAACUUGGUAACGCAGCUAACGCGUGAAGUAGACCGCCUGGGGAGUACGGUCGCAAGAUUAAAACUCAAAUGAAAUUGACGGA